Molecule: ribosomal RNA, 274 nt
Filed under: uncultured bacterium
Lineage: Bacteria
Description: partial 16S ribosomal RNA
Rfam family: Bacterial small subunit ribosomal RNA
Source: RNAcentral
AUACGAGGGUCCCAAGCGUUAUUCGGAAUCACUGGGCGUAAAGAGUACGUAGGCGGUUUGGUAAGUCAGGUGUGAAAUCCCGGAGCUCAACUCCGGAACUGCAUCCGAUACUGCCAGACUUGAGUAAUGGAGAGGCAGGUGGAAUUCUCGGUGUAGCAGUGAAAUGCGUGGAUAUCGAGAGGAAGACCAAUGGCGAAGGCAGCCUGCUGGACAUUUACUGACGCUGAGGUACGAAGGCUAGGGGAGCGAAAGGGAUUAGAAACCCCUGUAGUCC